Cinara cedri is the source of this 373-nucleotide non-coding RNA. NCBI's taxonomy places the organism in Eukaryota, Metazoa, Arthropoda, Insecta, Hemiptera, Aphididae. The record is from the annotation of a GenBank genome assembly.
CACAUAAAAUGUAACGGUUUUUUCUAUUGAAAGUUAAGCGUCUUGAUCCCUCUAGAAACCCCAAGACGAAUACUCUGUCAAGAAUCCCACAAGCAGCAACAACUACGCACCACCAACUUUUUUCGAGGAUCUCUCUCGAAUAGCUAGCUCCGACUUUUAGCAGCUAUAAUCUCUCGUGUUCGAUUUAUUUAUUAAUACACUUUAUAAUUCAACCUUUUACUUUCCUAGUUUAUAAAUUAGCAUUUUUUUAUCUGAGUGCACGCAGAUGUUAAGUGUUAAUUAAUUAAAUUAAUUUAUCCUAAUUAAAUUGUGAUUGCCGUCCAACUACUCCAGGUUCACGUGAGUUUAUCUAUAAGUAUACACCCUAGCGUUC